AAUUUUGCUCAAUGGGGGAAACCCUGAAGCAGCAACGCCGCGUGCGGGAUGAAGGCCUUCGGGUUGUAAACCGCUUUUACCAGGGACGAUAAUGACGGUACCUGAUGAAUAAGUCACGGCUAACUACGUGCCAGCAGCCGCGGUAAUACGUAGGUGACUAGCGUUGUCCGGAUUUACUGGGCGUAAAGAGCGCGCAGGCGGUCGUUCAAGUCGAGUGUGAAAGCCCCCGGCUCAACUGGGGAGGGUCAUUCGAUACUGAUCGACUCGAAGGCAGGAGAGGGAAGCGGAAUUCCCGGUGUAGUGGUGAAAUGCGUAGAUAUCGGGAGGAACACCAGUGGCGAAGGCGGCUUCCUGGCCUGUUCUUGACGCUGAGGCGCGAAAGCUAGGGGAGCAA
This 394-nucleotide ribosomal RNA is filed under the name uncultured Chloroflexota bacterium. Its description in RNAcentral is "bacterial SSU rRNA". It matches the Rfam family "Bacterial small subunit ribosomal RNA", at positions 360 to 771 of the family's 1533-position model. The record is from RNAcentral. Lineage: Bacteria; Bacillati; Chloroflexota.